GACGAACCGAGCGAACGUUAUUCGGAAUCACUGGGCUUAAAGGGCGCGUAGGCGGGCCAUCAAGUCAGGGGUGAAAGCCCCCAGCUCAACUGGGGAAGUGCCUCUGAUACUGGUGGCCUCGAGGGAGGUAGGGGCGUGCGGAACUUCCGGUGGAGCGGUGAAAUGCGUAGAUAUCGGAAGGAACACCGGUGGCGAAAGCGGCGCGCUGGACCUCUUCUGACGCUGAGGCGCGAAAGCGUGGGUAGCAAACAGG
This 253-nucleotide ribosomal RNA is filed under the name uncultured bacterium. RNAcentral describes it as "partial 16S ribosomal RNA". It matches the Rfam family "Bacterial small subunit ribosomal RNA", at positions 524 to 776 of the family's 1533-position model. The record is from RNAcentral.